RNAcentral lists this ribosomal RNA (468 nucleotides) under uncultured bacterium. RNAcentral's name for it is "partial 16S ribosomal RNA". It matches the Rfam family "Bacterial small subunit ribosomal RNA", at positions 28 to 507 of the family's 1533-position model. The record is from RNAcentral.
GACGAACGCUGGCGGCGUGCUUAACACAUGCAAGUCGAACGGAAAGGCCCUGCUUUUGUGGGGUGCUCGAGUGGCGAACGGGUGAGUAACACGUGAGUAACCUGCCCUUGACUUUGGGAUAACUUCAGGAAACUGGGGCUAAUACCGGAUAGGAGCUCCUGCUGCAUGGUGGGGGUUGGAAAGUUUCGGCGGUUGGGGAUGGACUCGCGGCUUAUCAGCUUGUUGGUGGGGUAGUGGCUUACCAAGGCUUUGACGGGUAGCCGGCCUGGGAGGGUGACCGGCCACAUUGGGACUGAGAUACGGCCCAGACUCCUACGGGAGGCAGCAGUGGGGAAUAUUACACAAUGGGCGGAAGCCUGAUGCAGCAACGCCGCGUGCGGGAUGACGGCCUUCGGGUUGUAAACCGCUUUCGCCUGUGACGAAGCGUGAGUGACGGUAAUGGGUAAAGAAGCACCGGCUAACUACGUG